This is a long non-coding RNA of Hyaena hyaena (striped hyena), 598 nucleotides long. RefSeq lists it as uncharacterized. The record is from RefSeq and is a predicted model, not a curated record. NCBI's taxonomy places the organism in Eukaryota, Metazoa, Chordata, Mammalia, Carnivora, Hyaenidae. The transcript is spliced from 5 exons.
UAUGGAGGCAGAAGUGAGAAAUAUCAGAGAUGUGGACCUAGAAUCUUUAUCUCAUACCAUAUGACACCUAUCAGGACUUUUUAGUCUUCCACAAUUGAACUCAGUUCCUGGUGACAAUCCACUUCAACAGUCACAGUCUAUGCAACAGAGAUCAAACGCAUUAGCAUCAGUGGCCUCAGUAAUAUUUUCUUGGCCUCACGUCAUUGACCCAUGUGCAAGUACUGAGUGCAUCAAAAUGCAGUUGCGACUCAGUUGGCAAAACUGAGGAAAUAGGAACUUUCCCGGAUGAUUGAAGAAUCAAGUUGUAUAGCCCAACAGAUGACAAUUUGACAAUGAAGCAACCUCCCUCUGUAAUAUCUGGGAUGUUAUGCCGAAUGAAACAUUAUUCUAUUGACCAUUGGCUCUGUGUUCAGGAAGUCUGCCUAGAAAAUGUGUAUCUAAGGGGUCCAGACCUGUGACUCAGGGGAAAGCAAGUCAGGCAAUGAAUAAUUUAGAACAGACAAGCUGGCAAGCUUUGGAUCAGCUCAUCCACUUAUGAAAAAAAGCAGUUGGAAUUUUGAUGUGGAUUACUGUAGAUCUGCAAAGCCAGUUAUUUGGG